AGAGGUACAGCUCAGUGGUAGAGCACAUGCUUAGCAUGCAUGAGGUCCUGGGUUCAAUCCCCAAUAUCUCCA
RNAcentral lists this transfer RNA (72 nucleotides) under Camelus bactrianus (Bactrian camel). It matches the Rfam family "tRNA". Rfam says of the family: Transfer RNA (tRNA) molecules are approximately 80 nucleotides in length. Their secondary structure includes four short double-helical elements and three loops (D, anti-codon, and T loops). The record is from Rfam by way of RNAcentral. Lineage: Eukaryota; Metazoa; Chordata; Mammalia; Artiodactyla; Camelidae. RNAcentral also lists the same sequence under 2 other names.